Molecule: ribosomal RNA, 420 nt
Filed under: Fusobacteriota bacterium
Lineage: Bacteria; Fusobacteriati; Fusobacteriota
Description: Fusobacteria bacterium partial 16S ribosomal RNA
Rfam family: Bacterial small subunit ribosomal RNA
Source: RNAcentral
UGGGGGAUAUUGCACAAUGGGCGAAAGCCUGAUGCAGCGACGCCGCGUGGGGGAUGAAGGCCUUCGGGUUGUAAACUUCUUUUGCUCUGAACAAGGCAUGCCUUUGGGGUGUGUUGAGUGUAGGGGUUGAUUAGCGCCGGCUAACUACGUGCCAGCAGCCGCGGUAAUACGUAGGGCGCGAGCGUUGUCCGGAAUUAUUGGGCGUAAAGGGCUUGUAGGUGGCUGGUUGCGUCUGUCGUGAAAGCUCAUGGCUUAACUGUGGGUUUGCGGUGGGUACGGGCUGGCUUGAGUGUAGUAGGGGAGGCUGGAAUUCCUGGUGUAGCGGUGGAAUGCGCAGAUAUCUGGAGGAAUACCGGUGGCGAAGGCGGGUCUCUGGGCUGUUACUGACGCUGAGGAGCGAAAGCGUGGGGAGCGAACAGG